Loxodonta africana (African savanna elephant) is the source of this 7689-nucleotide RNA transcript. It is a transcript of the gene named ankyrin repeat domain 16, with no coding region annotated. Lineage: Eukaryota; Metazoa; Chordata; Mammalia; Proboscidea; Elephantidae. The transcript has 8 exons. The record is from RefSeq and is a predicted model, not a curated record.
GGGUGAGGAAGGGGGCGGUGCAGGGAAAUGCACGGAAGUGCGCGGAGGCUCUACCCUGUUGUUGAGAAGGGGCCCCGACAGCUCCAUGAUGAGGAGUGCAUUGACUAGGGUGGCGCUGGAGACAAGGAAUUACAGCGGCACCUUUCAUUCACUCCGUCAACAAAUGUUUAUGCAGGCAAUUUGCAGAAGAAAACAUACGUGGGAUUUGCCGUCGAAGAAAACUAAAUUAUACUCCCUAAAGCUUCCCUUGUAGGAGCCCCGCGCCUCUCCGCCUCUCAGCUUCCUUUUCUGCAAACGGAGAGAAUCGUAAUAACCCUUUCUACUGUGGCUGUGUUGAGGAUUAAAGCAGAUUUGCGAAGGCGCUUUGAAGAUAGUAAGCCAUUAAUACAAACGUGAUCUACUGGCUGCAUGCUAAGCACUGAGCUACAUUGGUCUCAUAAAUGCAUAUGCAGGGCCCCGAGAUGUGGGUGUGCCCACUAUCCCUAUAGGUAUCUUUCGUAUUGUUUUAUUUCUUCGUUGUCUAGCCAGCAACACCCUCAUUAUCUGUUUUUAACCAAAAAAUAAUCAAGCUUAAAAACUAUUAGACACAACACCCCAAGAAAUGCAUUCUCUUAGCCCCACCCCACCUGCGCUAUGUAAACAAUUACUGUACGUACAUGUGUAUGUGUACCUGGUAAAUUAAAUCGGCGAUUCACAAAGCCUUUUUAUAAUACACUAUCUCAUUCUUUGGAAGAAUUAUUCUCCCACGUUAGAAAUCAGCAGCUUCUAUCACUUGAGACAGGGGAGAUGAGUGUGAAGUGUGAUCCCUCCUAUUGGGAUAUCGCCUAACCAACCUAUGGACCGGCUGCUCUCAGCCGGAUAGGAGCCGGCUGGCAGGCAGGGGCUGGAGUGGGUUUAGGGGUUGUUCUCGGUUGUCUCAGAGAAGAAAUCACGUGCAGGAAGCGGAAACCACGCUCGCGAGUGAGUGAGUGGGUGGGUGGCUGCGAGAGUGAUUGAGUGUCUCCGGGAGAAACGGAGACACCAGCCCUUCCUCAGAUACAACAUCCAUGACUAAUUGCCAUUUCUCCCCUCUCCUCACUUCAGCACCAUUUGAGGAGACCUGAGCAGGUGAGAGAAUCCUGUCUCCUGCUGCCUUCCUCAUCUUGCCUUGAAGGAGAGGGUACUCAGAAGCUUGGUUGCUCUGCCAGCCACACCCCGCCCCGGGCCCUCCCCCGGACCUGGCCUGGGCGUCCCCUCAGACCGCGGCUGAGUGGUCAUGGCCACGCCCAGGAGUCGCGAGGAGGCCGCAGCUGGAGUGCCUGAGCAGGGGCCGAAGCGGCUGUACAGGCUGGUGCAGGAAGGCCGGCUGUGUGCCCUGCGGGAGGAGCUGCCGAGGAUGGGAGGUCCGGCUCUGAGGUGCCCAGGGCCAGCGGGGGACACCCUCCUGCACUGCGCCGCUCGCCACGGGCAUAGGGGCAUCCUGGCCUAUCUAGCUGAGGUCUGGGAGAUGGACAUUGAGGCCACCAACAGAGACUACAAGCGACCUCUGCAUGAAGCUGCCUCCAUGGGCCACGGGGACUGCGUGCGGUAUCUGCUGGGCAGAGGAGCCUCUGUCGACUGCCUGAAGAAGGCAGACUGGACUCCUCUAAUGAUGGCUUGCACAAGGAAGAAUCUCAACGUGAUCCAAGACCUUGUGGAACAUGGCGCCAAUCCACUUCUGAAGAACAAAGAUGGCUGGAACAGUUUCCACAUCGCCAGCCGAGAAGGUGACCCUUUGAUCCUCCAGUACUUGCUCUCUGUUUGCCCAGCUGUCUGGAAGACAGAGAGCAAAAUUAGAAGAACUCCUCUGCACACUGCAGCAAUGCAUGGAUGUUUAGAGGCAGUAACGGUGCUUCUUACGAGGUGCCAGUAUGAACCAGACUGCAGAGACAAGUGUGGCGUUACACCCUUUAUGGACGCAAUUCAGUGUGGUCACAUCAACGUAGCUAGGCUGCUGCUUGAAAAACAUAAGGCUUGUGUUGCAGCAGAGGAUACACUAGGGGCCCAGGCUGUGCACAGAGCAGCAGUCACUGGGCAGAACGAAGCCAUCCAAUUCUUAGUCUCUGAUCUUGGCGUUGAUGUAGAUGUGAGAGCAACAUCAACCCACCUCACAGCACUUCACUGUGCAGCUAAGGAAGGACAUACAAGCACAGUUCAGACUCUCCUAUCUUUGGGUGCUGACAUCAACUCUAAAGAUGAAAGAAAUCGAUCAGGAUCGUUUUGAAUGUUGGGUUGAAGAGAAGAACCUGGCUAGGAGGCUAUUGCAAUAAUCUAUUCUAAACAUGAUAAUAACUUGGACCAGAGAGGAGGGAUGGAUGCUGGCUGAAAGCAGAGAAUACCAGAAGGAUGUUUACCUGUGUUUUAUUGACUAUGCAAAGGCAUUCGACUGUGUGGAGCAUAACAAAUUAUGGAUAACAUUGUGAAGAAUGGGAAUUCCAGAACACUUAACUGUGCUCAGGAGGAACCUUUACAUAGGUCGAGAGGCAGUUGUUCGGACAGAACAAGGGGAUACUGAUGGGUUUAAAGUCAGGAAAGGUGUGCGUCAGGGUUGUAUCCUUUCACCAUACCUAUUCGAUCUGUAUGCUGAGCAAAUAAUACGAGAAGAUGGACUAUAUAAAGAAGAAUGGGGCAUCAGGAUUGGAGGAAGACUCAUUAACAACCUGUGUUAUGCAGAUGACACAACCUUGCUUGCUGAAAAUGAAGAGGACUUGAAGCACUUACUAAUGAAGAUCAAAGACCACAGCUUUCAGUAUGGAUUGCACCUCAACAUAAAGAAAACAAAAAGCCUCACAACUGGACCAAUGAGCAACAUCAUGGUAAAUGGAGAAAAGAUUGAAGUUGUCAAGGAUUUCAUUUUUCUUGGAUCCACAAUCAACAGCCAUGGAAGCAGCAGUCAAGAAAUCAAAAGAUGCUUUGCAUUGGAUAAAUCUGCUGCAAAGGACCUCUUGAAAGUGUUGAAGAGCAAAGAUGUCACCUUGAAGACUAAGGUGUGCCCGACCCAAGCCAUGGUAUUUUCAAUCACAUCAUACGCAUGUGAAAGCUGGACAAUGAAUAAGGCAGACUGAAGAAGAGUUGAUGCCUUUGAAUUGUGGUGUUGGUGAAGAACAUUGAAUAUACCAUGGACUGCCAAAAGAACUAACAAACCUGUCUUAGAAGAAGUACAUCCAGAAUGCUCCUUAGAGGCAAGGAUGGCGAGACUGCAUCUUACGUACUUUGGACAUGUUGUCAGGAGGGAUCAGUCCCUGGAGAAGGACAUCAUGCUUGGCAGAGUACAGGGUCAGUGGAAAAGAGGAAGACCCUCAACAAGGUGGAUUGACACAGUGGUUGCGACAAUGAGCUCAAGCAUAACAACGAUUGUAAGGAUGGCUCAGGACUGGGCAGUGUUUCGUUCUGUUGUGCGUAGGGUCACUAUGAGUCGGAACCAACUCAACGGCACCUAACUACAACAACAAUGAGAUGUUAAUGGAUGAUAACAAUUUUAAAUUUUAUCCAUCUCUUAGUUAUCUGCAUUUUAACAGGGAUCAUAUUAUUAAACCAAGAGAAAAAAGCUCUUAAGAUGAAACACAUGCGUCAUUAAAAAUGUAAGAAGGAUUUUUAAAAAUGUAUUUUAGCUGAGCCUUUCCUCAUUUCUUCAUAACUGAGAAGUUUUCUGUGCCUUUCAUAACUCUGUUUUGUUAAUUUUAUUUCCAUCCAGCGUAUCAAAUAGGCCUACAUUUCUUCAAAGUUCAACACCACCACGCAAGUUCCAGCCACUAUCCUCUUGUUAUAGUUACUAUGGGUGCAUAACAAAUUACUCUGAAAUUUAAUAGUGUAAAACAACAAUUUAUCAUGCUCAUGGAUUCUACAGUUCAGGAAUUCAGCCAAGGCACAAUGGAGAUGGCUUGUCCCUUCUCCACAUGACUGGGGUCUCCGCUGAUGACUCGAAGUCUGAAAUCAUUUGAAGCCUCACUUAUGCACAUAUCUGGCAGUUGAUAUAGGCUGUUGUUUGGCAGCCUCAGUUCUUCACAUGGUCUUCUCCAUGUGGGCUAGCGCGAGCUUCUUCACAACAUGGGGUCUGGGGUUCCAAAAGGGAGCAUUCAGUGAGGGAGAGAGAGCUAAGUAGGCAGACGCCAUAUUGCCUUUCAUAAUCUAGCUUUGAAAGUCAUUCAGCGUUACUUCCCCACAUUCUAUUUGUCAAGAGAGUUAUACAAUCUCAUUCAGGUUCAAGGGCAGGAGAAAUAGACUCCACCUCUGAUGGGAAGUGGCAAAGUUUUAGAACAGCAUGUGGGAUUGGAAAUUUUGUGUGAACAUUUUGAAAAGUAGAAUCUACCACAUUUUUCUUGCCUCAUAACUGGUCUUCCUACUUCCACUUUUGUUCUUCCCCUCCUGUAAUUUUUAUACAGCAGCCUGAAAAAGCUUGUAACAGAUUAGCACAUGUCCCUCCCUUACUCAUAACCCUUCACUUAGGAUAAAGUCCAAUCUUCUUACUACUACCUAUAAGUCCCCACACGACCCAGCCCAGCCAGCCUCUCUAUCAGUGUUUUCUACCUCUUCAGUCUAGAUCACACUUUCAUGUCACAGACCUUUUUUCAGUUCCUCAAACAGACCAAAUUUUCCUCCACCCUAAUGUCUUCCUGGAAAAUUCUCUUGAUUUGUCUUGUGGUUUACUCCUAUUCAUCCUUCUGGUCCCAGCCUUAAUGUCACUCUCUCAGAUAAACCUUCCCUGAACUCCCAAUCUAAAAGUAGAACCUUUGUGAUAGAUUCUGUCAUAGCACUUUGUAAUAUUCCUUCAGGACACAGUGAUUCUAUGAUUCUUUGGAUGAUGUCUGUCUUUCCUACAACUCUGAAAACCUACAAGAGCAGGGUCCAUUGCCCAUUUUAUGCUUAGUAUAGAGUCAGUUCUCUAUUAGUAUUUGUUGAAUGAAUGAAUGGUAAAGGAGAGGAGCAAUGAAAAAAAAUUGUCUGUAGCCUCAAAGAUCUAAAAUAUAAAAGAAGAGCAAGACUUACUAUGUAACUACACGAUGGGGCUUAGUGUGAUAAGGGCUAUGAAAGAACUACAAAGGAAGGACUGUAGGAGAAUGCUUCAUAGAAUAAGUGACAUUUGGGCUGGGACUAGAAGGAGGAAAGAGUUUUAAUUUGUGGAGGUGGUGGGAAAGAGUUUUCUGAGCAGAGAGUCAAUAGCAAGGAUAUAUUAUGAUGAAAUUAGAGUUGCCAAAUAAAACACAGGGGACCCAGUUAAAUUUGAAUUUCAAAUAAACUAUUUUUAGCAUAAGUAUGUCCCAAAUAUUACAUACUUUUACUAAAAAAGUGUUUGUUGUUUAUCUAAAGUUCAAAUUUAACAAGGCGUCUUGUAUUUUUUGGAGCCCUGGUGGUGCAGUGGUUAAUUACUAAAUCUGGCAAGCCUAAAUGGAUGCUAAUUUACAUGGCAACUUUGCUUCUUUUUUAAAAGGCAGAAACAAACCUUGAUGUAUUAGCUGAACACAGAAAAAAAUGGAUCAAACUGAAUUUUGAACCCAACAACGUGAUUAAAAAAACCCCAAAAAAACAAAACCCAGUGCAGUCAAGUCGAUUCCGACUCAUAGCGAGCUGUUGAAAUAACCAAACUCAAAAUCUCAGAAGCUUAAUAGAAUAAAGGUUUAUAUUUCUUAUUCAUGAAAAGUGUGAUGCGGAUGUUCCUGGUUGGUGGCUUUCCUAGACAAUUCUCUACUAAGCCAUGAACUCAGGGAUCCAGGCUUCUUCUACUGUGUGCUGUCACCACCUUGGAGUCCUUCAUUUCUGGUCACACAAUCCAGGAAAGAAAAGAGCAGAAAAACUCAGGUGACCUUUCGGUGGGCAUACAUCAACUGUGGCCACAUUCCAUUAGCAAAACUAGCUACAUGGCUCCACCCAGAUGCAAGGAGUGCUGGGAAAUGUCAUCUUCCUGUAUGCCCCAGAUUUUUCUGUCAUUGAGAGCUGGGUGGUAGAAUGGAAAGAGCAGAGGCUUUGUUUCCAGAGAGCUCUGUUUAAAUCACAACGCUGCCUUUCACUAUCCAUGAGACUUUAGACCAUGUUACUUACGUCCCUGAGCCUCAAUUUUCUCAUUUGUGAAAAGGUUAUAAUAACUACCUUGCAGUAUUGUUUUAAGAGUACAGUGCCUGGCACAUAGUAGGCACUUAUGAAGAGCUAUUACUAUAAUGUUAUUAUUUUGUUUGUAAUCUGCCAUUAAAAGUACUUCCAGGGCUUGCUGGAUGAUAUUAGCCUACUCAAUAAGUAACAUGGAACUGUUUUUUUUUUUUUAAUUAAGUAUAUUUAAUUUUUUUAUUGUGGCAAAUAUAUACGUAACAAAACAUUUGCCAUUUCAAUAUUCUUCACAUGUAUACUUCAGUGGCAUUAAUUAUAUGUAUCAUGUUGUUCAACCAUCACCAUUAUCCAUUUCCAAAUUUUUCCAUCCUAGAUUUUAAAUCUAAGAAACCAUCCAGUCCAAUCAAAACUCAAUGAAGUUCAAACACUUCACUAAGUGUCCCAAAAUACAGGUGGCUUCUGCCCUCUUAUUAAACAAAGUGUAACUUUCACCAAAAUGUCCACACUGUCACCUAAACAUUUUCACAUAAAGAUAUUGGGCUGUAACUGCUACUUCUUUUAAAAAGCUGAGACAUUUUCUUUCUUUCUCUUUUAAAUAUCAGUGAGAAUUAUGCCUGGGCUGCAGUUUGUUUCUCAGUCCAGAUGCUUGAAUAUAACCCAGUGAAAGAAAAUCCGAGAAAUGUACUGACCUUUUCUUAUUGGCUCAACAUCGUGCUUAUAACUUCACGAUUGAAUUUUCCCCUCCACAAUUCUUACUCAUUUUUUUCCAGCACAUACGGCACCCCCUACGAUAAUAACUAAACAGUUUUACUGUUCAGAUGUCAAUCUGGACAGAAAGUGGGUUGCUAAUGACAACAGAAAAUUAAACAGCUUUGACCACAUUUCCCCCCUGUUUUGUUUUUUGUUUUUCGAGGUGGUUUCAUUUUGCCGUGUCAAAGAACUCACUAAGGAGACUGAACUGCCAAUGACCCAACAGCAGACCCUGAGAUCACAUAACUAUAAAUCUACUGUGGCCAGCAUCUGCAUUGCUUGGGUUAAUUUAUCUUUACCAUAUUUUUCCAAGUGACAAGGAAGAGGGGUCAAGGAGAGAGAAGCAACUGACUGUGACAUUAAUUUAUCAGACUUCCCCAGCUUUAUGACCCGUUACCACAGGCUUGGCCAGUUUAUUUGCUGGCCUUUCCCUUAUGCCCGUGAACAAAAAUGAGACAGAGGCUUAAAUAAAAAUCUCUCCCAGAUCUUAGGGAUAAAGAAUAGUUUCUACCUUUCUCUUAACGUCAAAGUGGUGUACUUCGUAGACAAAAACCUUCAGAGAUGUUCUUCAAAAUAACCCACAGACAUCUUGAACCAGCUAUGAUUUACAAGGUAUUUUCCCCAAGUAACAAAAUGGCAUUCUCUAGUUUAGAUGUUUCCACAGCGCAAAUCACAAAUGCUACAACACAGCUUGUCCUCCAGGGCAGAUUGGCAAGUAAAUAUUUUCAAGAGUAUGUUGUAAAUGAAAUACCUAGCACUAUAGCAAGGCUCAAAAAAUAGUUUUGACAGAAAUAAGGUUAAUGAUGUAGAGUAUGCAUUCAAGUCAAAUAUUUGAAAGGGUGUUCCCUCAGGAAAAAAAAAAAAAAAAACCCAGAGAAGGAA